This 253-nucleotide ribosomal RNA is filed under the name uncultured bacterium. RNAcentral describes it as "partial 16S ribosomal RNA". It matches the Rfam family "Bacterial small subunit ribosomal RNA", at positions 524 to 776 of the family's 1533-position model. The record is from RNAcentral.
UACGGGGGGAGCAAGCGUUGUCCGGAAUUAUUGGGCGUAAAGAGCUCGUAGGCGGUUUGUCGCGUCGGCCGUGAAAUCUCCACGCUUAACGUGGAGCGUGCGGUCGAUACGGGCAGACUUGAGUUCGGCAGGGGAGACUGGAAUUCCUGGUGUAGCGGUGAAAUGCGCAGAUAUCAGGAGGAACACCGGUGGCGAAGGCGGGUCUCUGGGCAAUAACUGACGCUGAGGAGCGAAAGCGUGGGGAGCGAACAGG